ACAUAUGUCCUAACAUUAAUAUCCUAAGUACAUGAACUAACUAAAUUUAUGUAUCACACAAAUCAUAAACUCCUCUCUUUCAAGUGUCAAGACAAUGUUCACAUUUCAACAGGUAAGACCCCUAUUUUAUCCUCUCCAUAUCCUCCAUAUUAACAGUUAGGUGCUUGCUUCAGAAGUAAAAUGACAGUUUAUCCAUCUGAAGUAUUUUAAGGGUUCUAUUUCCUG
RNAcentral lists this unclassified non-coding RNA (225 nucleotides) under Hevea brasiliensis (rubber tree). The record is from RNAcentral. Lineage: Eukaryota; Viridiplantae; Streptophyta; Magnoliopsida; Malpighiales; Euphorbiaceae.